RNAcentral lists this ribosomal RNA (253 nucleotides) under Lodderomyces parapsilosis. RNAcentral describes it as "Candida parapsilosis partial 18S ribosomal RNA". It matches the Rfam family "Eukaryotic small subunit ribosomal RNA", at positions 1586 to 1831 of the family's 1831-position model. The record is from RNAcentral. Lineage: Eukaryota; Fungi; Ascomycota; Pichiomycetes; Serinales; Debaryomycetaceae.
GUAAGUUAUGUGCUCUUCAACGAAGGGAAUUCCUAUAAGCGCAAGUCAUCAGCUUGCGUUGAUUACGUCCCUGCCCUUUGUACACACCGCCCGUCGCUACUACCGAUUGAAUGGCUUAGUGAGGCUUCCGGAUUGGUUUAGAGAAGGGGGCAACUCCAUCUUGGGAACCGAGAAGCUAGUCAAACUUGGUCAUUUAGAGGAAGUAAAAGUCGUAAACAAGGUUUCCGUAGGUGAACCUGCGGAAGGAUCAUUA